ACCUGAUUGCGGGGUGGGGAGACUGGCACAAAAUGUCAAGAGAGAGAACAAGAAAGAAGCACCACCACAGAGAACAUUUGGGCGCCACAACAGCAUCUGCGUGGGGUCUGUUCCAACGGAGAGCCAAAUCUGGAUUAAAUUUACUUUUGGACCUUUGACUUGUUUGUGGUCAUGCCGGAUUUAUCAAGGAAACAGUCUUGGCAUAACCAGCAAGAUCAGAUGACACAGACAGACUCCUCACAGGCCGCAGCAUUGUGUAACACCAGCCAGUGCUGUUGUUUAUCGUCCUGGAUUGUCGAGGGAGGCAUCCUGUCCUGUCCUGUCCUGGAUCUGCACAAACAGCCAAGAGAAAGAAUGCCGUGCGCUUUGAUAAAUGUUGAGAAAAGAAUGAUAAUUUGGGCCAAAUCCGAAUAGACUAAAAGAUGUGAAAAUGCAAAUAGAGCAGGGCGUGUCUCUCUCUCACCGGCCCUGUCUGGGAGUAAGCGUCCAGGCAAAGUGUUUCAUGGUCAGAGGAGGUGUAGAGGGAUCAGUGUGCAAGAUGGACAGAAAGGAUGUUGGGCUGAGAAGUACUGAGAGUGUAAAGCAGAUGUUUGAACCUGACAGGGAGUUAAAUGAAGAAUAACAGCGUGUCACAGAGAAAUUGGUGGUGGGAGAGUAGGCUGCUGAUCGGCACAUGAGAGACUCCCAAAUGUUUAGUCAGACCUACUGAAACUUCUGCUGUAAUUUCACAUAUUUUAUGGUAAAAAUAAGUGUAGUUUGGAAAUCAGGGAAACUGCAAAGAAGGAAUACCAGAUAUGCAUGCUACUUCCAUAUUGGGUGGAAAGUGGCAUCCAUUACAAUUGUUCCGACUUUAAAAAAGCACAAAGAGCUACCCACUUGCAGAAGCAUGUCCACCAGAUAUGAAUACGUGAUUGUGUUUACUACAGCACACAUAGAACAUUUUAUUCUCGUCUGUGGAGCCACGCCCCGGAAGAGCUCAAACCUCAGCCAAAGAUGCACCACAUCUCCUUUUACUCCCUGUUCUUUUUGUUUACAGGACGCAGCUGAGGGGAUGACACCUCACAUCGGACCUGUCAAGUCUCACUCAUCUUAUCUAUGUUUUCUUAGGUUCCCCAUGUCCAUGGCAACACUGUGCCUCCAGUCACGGACGACGGCAUGAGAGCUCAUAGCCAGACUAAUGCAUCCAAACAGUCUAUUUUAAACAUUAGAGUACAGCAUGUGGCCUUUAAACCAAAUUGCCCAGUGACUGCUCAGAUAAACAAACUGGACUCUUAUGAAAAUUCCCCCUGACUGCAGAAAGCCUCAGCGCUGCCACAUUAAGAUAAAACCUGUUGCUAGUGGCAACAGCACAGAGAUACAGUCGAUCAUGAUGACACUGCUGUCACUGUGGACACAAUGCAUAUCACAGUGUCUCCUCAAAGCCAUUAAGUUUCUUUGCAUUUCCUGAUGCUUUCAGGUAAAAAACGUUGCAGCUAAAAUCAUAAUUAUUUUCAUUUAUUACCUCCAGUGUGAAGGCUGAUAAAAGCCGCUGCGGGAGGAGAACACUGGACAAGUUUUGGACUGGAUGAACUCAAAAAUGCUUCAAUAUUCUUCUUUGUCAACAUUACGAAGCUGCAACUUUUUCACCCGACCGCAGCAGUCUCUUUCAUUAUUUUUCUCUGCCAUUAUCAUUCUUUAUUGUAGCACUCUCAAGUCCCUGACUCGGGCCUCUUGCAGAAACUGUUCCCUGUGGUGGUGCAAAUGUUUGAUCAGGUUAUCCUAUAUUAUACCCAAAUGUCUAUUGCUGUACAUAUGUGUUUCUAAUUCAAAUGGGCUCCUUCUGUUUCGUAUCACACUGUAAAGAAGGCACUGAAUCACUGAGCAGAUGCCUGUGCUUGGUAUUUGUGGCCCACAUUAUGCCUGAUCACGUAAAUACACUUUAAAAAAAAAAAGACUGUGAUGCCAGCUUGUCUUUAUUAUGACCCCCAGUAACUGACAGUGAAACAUGUGACAAGUGAAUUUCUCGGCUCCAAACGUGCUCAGAAACAGCCCUCUUCUCUAAAGUCCCACAAAUUGACAAAACUUCAUCAACUUGUUGGGAGUUGAAAAUGUUAAUCUCUGUGUGUACUGAUUGUAUUUUGAUGUGACAGUGAGGGAAAAGAGGUCAGACUUUAUAUAUACACAUACAUGCAUGUAUUAGGGGAAAAUAAAGGCUUGGCCUGGUGUUCUAAUCUCGCACUAACAUCAGCUUAGUUACUGCAGCCAGGCAGCAGUUGAAGCUGUGGAAGUAGCUGUGUCUCAGCAGCUCGACAGAGCCUGGAUCCUGUAUCCUGCACCAACAACACGCCCAGCCUGCUUUAAUGCACAGCCAAGGGUCCGCUGCUGAUUUCACGAUCUCUCUCCAAUGAGACUGUACGAACACACUUGACUACUUGAAUCAACUCUGACCUGAACGGCAUCAAAAAGAAAAACAUUUAAGAAAGGGGGUCAGAAACAUCAUGAAUGAGGAGAUGCAGAUCUGACAGCGACACAGACACGCCUGGAAGAAGUUGCCCUCCGACUGAACCUAAUCAAUGUCAUGUUGUUCAUUAGAAAACGAAACGAAACUGUGUAGUAAGCAUUACUGAUGGAAAGCUUUUUGAGAUUUAUUUCCGUCUCGUCCUGUGUGUUUGUCAUUAAAAUGCUUAAAUGAUUAAACUGGUCUUAGCAAGGUCAGGCCAAACUGAAAACAACAGUGUUUUUGUUCCCUCGCUAAUCUUUCUCUGUGUUGUGAGUCCUUUGUGAGAACUUUUCUUUAUUUGCAGGCAUGCUCUGUGUGAUGUUGUGUGUUUUGCUUCUCUGUACGUGUCACUAAAAUGCAGACAGGACCUUGGAUAGAGAGGUACUGGAAUAAAAAUGCUUGAUUGUGUGUCUA
Molecule: non-coding RNA, 2893 nt
Organism: Epinephelus lanceolatus (giant grouper)
Lineage: Eukaryota; Metazoa; Chordata; Actinopteri; Perciformes; Serranidae
Source: RefSeq, a predicted model, not a curated record